This 217-nucleotide long non-coding RNA is filed under the name Vigna radiata. RNAcentral describes it as "long non-coding RNA (VRAD_LNC016520)". The record is from RNAcentral. Lineage: Eukaryota; Viridiplantae; Streptophyta; Magnoliopsida; Fabales; Fabaceae.
CGAGAACAAUCUAGAAUGUGAAAAAUAUUAUUGAAGGUGUGUUGUGUCAGUCAAUACAAGAGAAUAAAAAUAAAAGGGGUUGGGCCGCUAGCCAGAAGGCCCAAUUAUAUACAUUAUCAUCCCCCCUCAAGCUGGGAGUAGAUGUUUGUCAUUCCCAACUUGGAAUGAAGAUACUUAAAAACUGUAGGGGAAGAGGUUUAGUGAAGAGGUCGACGGC